UUUCCGUAGGUGAACCUGCGGAAGGAUCAUUACAAAUCUUUUCGAGUGCUGCUUUCGCAAGUUUGCGUAUCAUUCACAUUAGCACAAGGUCUUGCGAUCUUGAUGUUUACGCUUGUUUGUUUGACAGAUUUAGUUGAGAAUAAAGAAGACAACUUUUAACAAUGGAUCUCUUGGCUCUU
Molecule: unclassified non-coding RNA, 179 nt
Filed under: plant metagenome
Description: partial contains small subunit ribosomal RNA, internal transcribed spacer 1, and 5.8S ribosomal RNA
Source: RNAcentral